UACGUAGGGUGCAAGCGUUGUCCGGAAUUAUUGGGCGUAAAGAGCUCGUAGGCGGUUUGUCGCGUCUGCUGUGAAAACCCGAGGCUCAGCCUCGGGCCUGCAGUGGGUACGGGCAGACUAGAGUGCGGUAGGGGAGAUUGGAAUUCCUGGUGUAGCGGUGGAAUGCGCAGAUAUCAGGAGGAACACCAAUGGCGAAGGCAGAUCUCUGGGCCGUAACUGACGCUGAGGAGCGAAAGCAUGGGGAGCGAACAGG
This 253-nucleotide ribosomal RNA is filed under the name uncultured bacterium. Its description in RNAcentral is "partial 16S ribosomal RNA". It matches the Rfam family "Bacterial small subunit ribosomal RNA", at positions 524 to 776 of the family's 1533-position model. The record is from RNAcentral.